This is a non-coding RNA of Ixodes scapularis (black-legged tick), 82 nucleotides long. The record is from Rfam. NCBI's taxonomy places the organism in Eukaryota, Metazoa, Arthropoda, Arachnida, Ixodida, Ixodidae.
GCAGUCGCGGCCGAGUGGUUAAGGCGAUGGACUAGAAAUUCAUUGGGGUCUCUUCACACAGGUUUGAGUCCUGUCGCCUGCA